GAUGAACGCUAGCUACAGGCUUAACACAUGCAAGUCGAGGGGUAACAAGAGGAAAGCUUGCUUUUCUUGUUGACGACCGGCGCACGGGUGAGUAACGCGUAUCCAACCUGCCUAUAACUAGGGAAUAACCUUGCGAAUGUAAGACUAAUACCCUAUGAUUUCCUUUGAUGACAUCAGAUUAGGAAUAAAGAUUUAUCGGUUAUAGAUGGGGAUGCGUCUGAUUAGCUUGUUGGCGGGGUAACGGCCCACCAAGGCAACGAUCAGUAGUGGUUCUGAGAAGAAGGUCCCCCAACUUGGAACUGAGACACGGUCCAAACGCCUACGGGAAGCAGCAGUGAGGAAUAUUGGUCAAUGGGCGGAAGCCUGAACCAGCCAAGUAGCGUGCAGGAUGACUGCCCUAUGGGUUGUAAACUGCUUUUAUACAGGAAUAAAGUUAGCCACGUGUGGUUAUUUGUAGGUACUGUAUGAAUAAGUACCGGCUAAUUCCGUGCCAGCCGCCGCGGUAA
This 506-nucleotide ribosomal RNA is filed under the name uncultured bacterium. RNAcentral's name for it is "partial 16S ribosomal RNA". It matches the Rfam family "Bacterial small subunit ribosomal RNA", at positions 28 to 523 of the family's 1533-position model. The record is from RNAcentral.